AAGCUAUUUAGGUAGCGCCUCGUGAACUCAUCUUCGGGGGUAGAGCACUGUUUCGGCUAGGGGGUCAUCCCGACUUACCAACCCGAUGCAAACUACGAAUACCGAAGAAUGUUAUCACGGGAGACACACGGCGGGUGCUAACGUCCGUCGUGAAGAGGGAAACAACCCAGACCGCCAGCUAAGGUCCCAAAGUCAUGGUUAAGUGGGAAACGAUGUGGGAAGGCACAGACAGCCAGGAUGUUGGCUUAGAAGCAGCCAUCAUUUAAAGAAAGCGUAAUAGCUC
This 283-nucleotide ribosomal RNA is filed under the name Acinetobacter baumannii. RNAcentral's name for it is "partial 23S ribosomal RNA". It matches the Rfam family "Bacterial large subunit ribosomal RNA", at positions 863 to 1143 of the family's 2925-position model. Lineage: Bacteria; Pseudomonadati; Pseudomonadota; Gammaproteobacteria; Moraxellales; Moraxellaceae. The record is from RNAcentral.